GACGAACGCUGGCGGCGUGCCUAAUACAUGCAAGUAGAACGCUGAAGAGAGGAGCUUGCUCUUCUUGGAUGAGUUGCGAACGGGUGAGUAACGCGUAGGUAACCUGCCUUGUAGCGGGGGAUAACUAUUGGAAACGAUAGCUAAUACCGCAUAACAAUGGAUGACACAUGUCAUUUAUUUGAAAGGGGCAAUUGCUCCACUACAAGAUGGACCUGCGUUGUAUUAGCUAGUAGGUGAGGUAAUGGCUCACCUAGGCGACGAUACAUAGCCGACCUGAGAGGGUGAUCGGCCACACUGGGACUGGGACACGGCCCAGACUCCUACGGGAGGCAGCAGUAGGGAAUCUUCGGCAAUGGGGGCAACCCUGACCGAGCAACGCCGCGUGAGUGAAGAAGGUUUUCGGAUCGUAAAGCUCUGUUGUAAGUCAAGAACGGGUGUGAGAGUGGAAAGUUCACACUGUGACGGUAGCUUACCAUAAAGGGACGGCUAACUACGUG
RNAcentral lists this ribosomal RNA (497 nucleotides) under uncultured bacterium. RNAcentral describes it as "partial 16S ribosomal RNA". It matches the Rfam family "Bacterial small subunit ribosomal RNA", at positions 28 to 507 of the family's 1533-position model. The record is from RNAcentral.